CCUACGGGAGGCAGCAGUGAGGAAUAUUGGUCAAUGGGCGCGAGCCUGAACCAGCCAAGUCGCGUGAGGGAAGACGGUCCUAUGGAUUGUAAACCUCUUUUGUCGGGGAGCAAAAGACGCCACGCGUGGCGUUCCGAGAGUACCCGAAGAAAAAGCAUCGGCUAACUCCGUGCCAGCAGCCGCGGUAAUACGGAGGAUGCGAGCGUUAUCCGGAUUUAUUGGGUUGAAAGGGUGCGCAGGCGGAAGAGCAAGUCAGCGGUAAAAUUGAGAGGCUCAACCUCGUCGAGCCGUUGAAACUGGUUGUCUUGAGUGAGCGAGAAGUAUGCGGAAUGCGUGGUGUAGCGGUGAAAUGCAUAGAUAUCACGCAGAACUCCGAGUGCGAAGGCAGCAUACCGGCGCUCAACUGACGCUCAUGCACGAAAGCGUGGGUAUCGAACAGGAUUAGAUACCCCUGUAGUC
Molecule: ribosomal RNA, 459 nt
Filed under: uncultured bacterium
Lineage: Bacteria
Description: partial 16S ribosomal RNA
Rfam family: Bacterial small subunit ribosomal RNA
Source: RNAcentral